This 72-nucleotide transfer RNA is filed under the name Marmota monax (woodchuck). It matches the Rfam family "tRNA". Rfam says of the family: Transfer RNA (tRNA) molecules are approximately 80 nucleotides in length. Their secondary structure includes four short double-helical elements and three loops (D, anti-codon, and T loops). The record is from Rfam by way of RNAcentral. Lineage: Eukaryota; Metazoa; Chordata; Mammalia; Rodentia; Sciuridae.
GGGGUUGGAGCUCAGUGGUAGAGUGUUUGCCUAGCAUGCAUGAAGCCCUGGGUUCAAUCCCCAGCACCCCUA